This 71-nucleotide transfer RNA is filed under the name Sulabanus cordatus. RNAcentral's name for it is "tRNA-Glu". The record is from RNAcentral. Lineage: Eukaryota; Metazoa; Arthropoda; Insecta; Coleoptera; Lycidae.
AUUUUUAAUUUAUAUAGUUUACAAAAACAUUACAUUUUCAUUGUAAAAUUAAAUUAAUAUUAAUUUUAUAA